GUUAGGGUUAAAAUCACUGUCCAAAACCUUUGUAGGAACUCUUUUCCAACCUUUUGGAGUUAGUUAGACCAAAAAAUAUGAAAAAUGAAAAAAAUAUUAUUGGGGUUUUCGGGCUCCCUGAAAGUAAUACCCGGGUAUUAGGUUUUGGGACUAGGGAAAGGUUUAAGGUUUUUGGCGUUAGGGUUAAAAUCACUGUCCAAAACCUUUGUAGGAACUCUUUUCCAACCUUUUGGAGUUAGUUAGACCAAAAAAAAAUGAAAAAUGAAAAAAAAAUAUUUGGGGUGUUCAGGCUUCCUGAAUGUAAUACCCGGGUAUUAGAUUUUGAGGCUAGGGUAAGGUUUAAGGUUUUUGGCGUUAGGGUUAAAAUCACUGUCCAAAACCUUUGUAGGAACUCUUUUCCAACCUUUUGGAGUUGGUUACACCAACAAAAAUGUAAAAUGAAAAAAAAAUAUUUGGGGUGUUCGGGCUUCCUGAAGGUAAUACCCGGGUAUUAGGUUAUGGGGCUAGGGUAAGGUUUAAGGUUUUUGGCGUUAGGGUUAAAAUCACUGUCCAAAACCUUUGUAGGAACUCUUUUCCAACCUUUUGGAGUUAGUUUGACCAAAAAAAAAAGAAAAAUGAAAAAAAAAUAUUUGGGGUGUUCAGGCUUCCUAAAAGUAAUACCUGGGUAUUAGGUUAUGGGGCUAUGGUAAGGUUUAAGGUUUUUGGCGUUAGGGUUAAAAUCACUGUCCAAAACCUUUGUAGGAACUCUUUUCCAACCUUUUGGAGUUGGUUACACCAACAAAAAUGUAAAAUGAAAAACAAAUAUUUGGGGUGUUCUGGCUUCCUGAAGGUAAUACCCGGGUAUUAGAUUUCAAGGCUAGGGUAAGGUUUAAGGUUUUUGGCGUUAGGGUUAAAAUCACUGUCCAAAACCUUUGUAGGAACUCUUUUCCAACCUUUUGGAGUUAGUUAGACCAAAAAAAAUGAAAAAUGAAAAAAAAAUAUUUGGGGUGUUCAGGCUUCCUUAAUGUAAUACCCGGGUAUUAGAUUUUAAUGCCAGGGUAAGGUUUAAGUUUUUUGGCAUUAGGGUUUAAAUCACUGUCCAAAACCUUUGUAGGAACUCUUUUCCAACCUUUUGGAGUUAGUUAGACCAAAAAAUAUAAAAAAAGAAAAAAAUAUUAUUGGGGGUUUUCGGGCUCCCUGAAAGUAAUACCCGGGUAUUAGGUUUUGGGACUAGGGAAAGGUUUAAGGUUUUUGGCGUUAGGGUUAAAAUCACUGUCCAAAACCUUUGUAGGAACUCUUUUCCAACCUUUUGGAGUUAGUUUGACCGAAAAAAAAAGAAAAAUGAAAAAAUAUAUAUUUGGGGUUUUCGGGCUUCCUGAAUGUAAUACCCGGGUAUUAGAUUUUAAGGCUAGGGUAAGGUUUAAGUUUUUUGGCGUUAGGGUUAAAAUCCCUGUCCAAAACCUUUGUAGGAACACUUUUCCAACCUUUUGGAAUUAGAUAAACCAAAAAAAAAUGAAAAAUGAAAAAAUAUAUAUUUGGGGUUUUCGGGCUUCCUGAAUGUAAUACCCGGGUAUUAGAUUUUAAGGCUAGGGUAAGGUUUAAGUUUUUUGGCGUUAGGGUUAAAAUCACUGUCCAAAACCUUUGUAGGAACUCUUUUUCAACCUUUUGGAGUUAGUUAGACCAAAAAAAAAUGAAAAAUGAAAAACAAAUAUUUGGGGUGUUCGGGCUUCCUGAAGGUAAUACCCGGGUAUUAGGUUUUGGGACUGGGGAAAGGUUUAAGGUUUUUGGCGUUAGGGUUAAAAUCACUGUCCAAAACCUUUGUAGGAACUCUUUUCCAACCUUUUGGAGUUAGUUUGACCAAAAAAAAAAAGAAAAAUGAAAAAAUAUAUAUUUGGGGUUUUCGGGCUUCCUGAAUGUAAUACCCGGGUAUUAGAUUUUAAGGCUAGGUUAAGGUUUAAGUUUUUUGGCGUUAGGGUUAAAAUCCCUGUCCAAAACCUUUGUAGGAACACUUUUCCAACCUUUUGGAAUUAGAUAAACCAAAAAAAAAAUGAAAAAUGAAAAAAUAUAUAUUUGGGGUUUUCGGGCUUCCUGAAUGUAAUACCCGGGUAUUAGAUUUUAAGGCUAGGGUAAGGUUUAAGUUUUUUGGCGUUAGGGUUAAAAUCACUGUCCAAAACCUUUGUAGGAACUCUUUUCCAACCUUUUGGAGUUAGUUAAACCAAAACAAAAAUGAAAAAUGAAAAAAUAUAUAUUUGGGGUGUUCGGGCUUCCUGAAUGUAAUACCCGGGUAUUAGAUUUUAAGGCUAGGGUAAGGUUUAAGUUUUUUGGCGUUAGGGUUAAAAUCACUGUCCAAAACCUUUGUAGGAACUCUUUUCCAACCUUUUGGAGUUGGUUACACCAACAAAAAUGUAAAAUGAAAAAAAAAUAUUUGGGGUGUUCGGGCUUCCUGAAGGUAAUACCCGGUAUUAGAUUUUAAGGCUAGGGUAAGGUUUAAGGUUUUUGGCGUUAGGGUUAAAAUCACUGUCCAAAACCUUUGUAGGAACUCUUUUCCAACCUUUUGGAGUUAGUUACACCAAAAAAAAUGAAAAAUGAAAAAAAAAUUAUUUGGGGGUUUUCGGGCUCCCUGAAAGUAAUACCCGGGUAUUAGGUUAUUGGGCUAGGGUAAGGUUUAAGGUUUUUGGCGUUAGGGUUAAAAUCACUGUCCAAAACCUUUGUAGGAACUCUUUUCCAACCUUUUGGAGUUGGUUACACCAACAAAAAUGUAAAAUGAAAAAAAAAUAUUUGGGGUGUUUGGGCUUCCUGAAGGUAAUACCCGGGUAUUAGAUUUUAAGGCUAGGGUAAGGUUUAAGGUUUUUGGCGUUAGGGUUAAAAUCACUGUCCAAAACCUUUGUAGGAACUCUUUUCCAACCUUUUGGAGUUGGUUACACCAACAAAAAUGUAAAAUGAAAAAAAUAUAUAUUUGGGGUGUUCAGGCUUCCUAAAAGUAAUACCCGGGUAUUAGGUUAUGGGGCCAUGGUAAGGUUUAAGGUUUUUGGCGUUAGGGUUAAAAUCACUGUCCAAAACCUUUGUAGGAACUCUUUUCCAACCUUUUGGAGUUAGUUAGACCAAAAAAAAUGAAAAAUGAAAAAAAAAUAUUUGGGGUGUUCAGGCUUCCUUAAUGUAAUACCCGGGUAUUAGAUUUUAAUGCCAGGGUAAGGUUUAAGUUUUUUGGCGUUAGGGUUAAAAUCACUGUCCAAAACCUUUGUAGGAACUCUUUUCCAACCUUUUGGAGUUGGUUACACCAACAAAAAUGUAAAAUGAAAAAAAAAAUAUUUGGGGUGUUCGGGCUUCCUGAAGGUAAUACCCGGGAAUUAGGUUAUGGGGCUAGGGUAAGUUUUAAGGUUUUUGGCGUUAGGGUUAAAAUCACUGUCCAAAACCUUUGUAGGAACAUUUCCAACCUUUUGGAGUUAGUUUGACCAAAAAAAAAAGAAAAAUGAAAAAAAAAUAUUUGGGGUGUUCAGGCUUCCUAAAAGUAAUAUCCAGGUAUUAGGUUAUGGGGCUAUGGUAAGGUUUAAGGUUUUUGGCGUUAGGGUUAAAAUCACUGUCCAAAACCUUUGUAGGAACUCUUUUCCAACCUUUUGGAGUUAGUUAGACCAAAAAAGAAUGAAAAAUGAAAAAAAAUAUUUGGGGUGUUCGGGCUUCCUGAAGGUAAUACCUGGGUAUUAGGUUAUGGGGCUAUGGUAAGUUUUAAGGUUUUUGGCGUUAGGGUUAAAAUCACUGUCCAAAACCUUUGUAGGAACUCUUUUCCAACCUUUUGGAGUUAGUUAGACCAAAAAAUAUGAAAAAAGAAAAAAAUAUUAUUGGGGUUUUCGGGCUCCCUGAAAGUAAUACCCGGGUAUUAGGUUUUGGGACUAGGGAAAGGUUUAAGGUUUUUGGCGUUAGGGUUAAAAUCACUGUCCAAAACCUUUGUAGGAACUCUUUUCCAACCUUUUGGAGUUAGUUAGACCAAAAAAAAUGAAAAAUGAAAAAAAAAAUAUUUGGGGUGUUCAGGCUUCCUUAAUGUAAUACCCGGGUAUUAGAUUUUGAGGCUAGGGUAAGGUUUAAGUUUUUUGGUAUUAGGGUUAAAAUCACUGUCCAAAACCUUUGUAGGAACUCUUUUCCAACCUUUUGGAGUUGGUUACACCAAAAAAAAAAGAAAAAUGAAAAAAAAUAUUUGGGGUGUUCGGGCUUCCUGAAGGUAAUACCCGGGUAUUAGAUUUCAAGGCUAGGGUAAGGUUUAAGGUUUUUGGCGUUAGGGUUAAAAUCACUGUCCAAAACCUUUGUAGGAACUCUUUUCCAACCUUUUGGAGUUAGUUACACCAACAAAAAUGAAAAUGAAAAAAAAUAUUUGGGGUGUUCGGGCUUCCUGAAGGUAAUACCCGGGUAUUAGGUUAUGGGGCUAGGGUAAGGUUUAAGGUUUUUGGCGUUAGGGUUAAAAUCACUGUCCAAAACCUUUGUAGGAACUCUUUUCCAACCUUUUGGAGUUAGUUAGACCAAAAAAAAAGAAAAAUGAAAAAAAAUAUUUGGGGUGUUCAGGCUUCCUUAAAGUAAUACCAGGUAUUAGGUUAUGGGGCUAUGGUAAGGUUUAAGGUUUUUGGCGUUAGGGUUAAAAUCACUGUCCAAAACCUUUGUAGGAACUCUUUUCCAACCUUUUGGAGUUAGUUAGACCAAAAAAGAAUGAAAAAUGAAAAAAAAAUAUUUGGGGUGUUCGGGCUUCCUGAAGGUAAUACCUGGGUAUUAGGUUAUGGGGCUAUGGUAAGGUUUAAGGUUUUUGGCGUUAGGGUUAAAAUCACUGUCCAAAACCUUUGUAGGAACUCUUUUCCAACCUUUUGGAGUUAGUUAGACCAAAAAAUAUGAAAAAAGAAAAAAAUAUUAUUGGGGGUUUUCGGGCUCCCUGAAAGUAAUACCCGGGUAUUAGGUUUUGGGACUAGGGAAAGGUUUAAGGUUUUUGGCGUUAGGGUUAAAAUCACUGUCCAAAACCUUUGUAGGAACUCUUUUCCAACCUUUUGGAGUUAGUUAGACCAAAAAAAAUGAAAAAUGAAAAAAAAAUAUUUGGGGUGUUCAGGCUUCCUUAAUGUAAUACCCGGGUAUUAGAUUUUGAGGCUAGGGUAAGGUUUAAGUUUUUUGGCAUUAGGGUUAAAAUCACUGUCCAAAACCUUUGUAGGAACUCUUUUCCAACCUUUUGGAGUUGGUUACACCAACAAAAAUGUAAAAUGAAAAAAAAAUAUUUGGGGUGUUCGGGCUUCCUGAAGGUAAUACCCGGGUAUUAGGUUAUGGGGCUAGGGUAAGGUUUAAGGUUUUUGGCGUUAGGGUUAAAAUCACUGUCCAAAACCUUUGUAGGAACUCUUUUCCAACCUUUUGGAGUUAGUUUGACCAAAAAAAAAGAAAAAUGAAAAAAAAAUAUUUGGGGUGUUCAGGCUUCCUAAAAGUAAUACCCGGGUAUUAGGUUAUGGGGCUAUGGUAAGGUUUAAGGUUUUUGGCGUUAGGGUUAAAAUCACUGUCCAAAACCUUUGUAGGAACUCUUUUCCAACCUUUUGGAGUUGGUUACACCAAAAAAAAAUGUAAAAUGAGAAAAAAAAUUUUUGGGGUGUUCGGGCUUCCUGAAUGUAAUACCCGGGUAUUAGAUUUUAAGGCUAGGGUAAGGUUUAAGUUUUUUGGCGUUAGGGUUAAAAUCACUGUCCAAAACCUUUGUAGGAACUCUUUUCCAACCUUUUGGAGUUAGUUAGACCAAAAAAAAAGAAAAAUGAAAAAAAAAUAUUUGGGGUGUUCAGGCUUCCUAAAAGUAAUACCCGGGUAUUAGGUUAUGGGGCUAUGGUAAGGUUUAAGGUUUUUGGCGUUAGGGUUAAAAUCACUGUCCAAAACCUUUGUAGGAACUCUUUUCCAACCUUUUGGAGUUAGUUAGACCAAAAAAAAUGAAAAAUGAAAAAACAAUAUUUGGGGUUUUCGGGGUUCCUGAAUGUAAUACCCGGGUAUUAGAUUUUAAGGCUAGGGUAAGGUUUAAGGUUUUUGGCGUUAGGGUUAAAAUCACUGUCCAAAACCUUUGUAGGAACUCUUUUCCAACCUUUUGGAGUUGGUUAGACCAAAAAAAAAUGAAAAAUGAAAAAAAAUAUUUGGGGUGUUCAGGCUUCCUUAAAGUAAUACCCGGGUAUUAGGUUAUGGGGCUAUGGGUAAGGUUUAAGUUUUUUGGCGUUAGGGUUAAAAUCACUGUCCAAAACCUUUGUAGGAACUCUUUUCCAACCUUUUGGAGUUAGUUAGACCAAAAAAUAUGAAAAAAGAAAAAAAAAAAUAUUUGGGGUUUUCGGGCUUCCUGAAAGUAAUACCCGGGUAUUAGGUUUUGGGACUAGGGUAAGGUUUAAGGUUUUUGGCGUUAGGGUUAAAAUCACUGUCCAAAACCUUUGUAGGAACUCUUUUCCAACCUUUUGGAGUUAGUUAGACCAAAAAAAAAUGAAAAAUGAAAAAAAAAUAUUUGGGGUGUUCGGGCUUCCUGAAUGUAAUACCCGGGUAUUAGAUUUUAAGGCUAGGGUAAGGUUUAAGGUUUUUGGCGUUAGGGUUAAAAUCACUGUCCAAAACCUUUGUAGGAACUCUUUUCCAACCUUUUGGAGUUAGUUAGACCAAAAAAAAAGAAAAAUGAAAAAAAAAUAUUUGGGGUGUUCAGGCUUCCUUAAUGUAAUACCCGGGUAUUAGAUUUUAAGGCUAGGGUAAGGUUUAAGUUUUUUGGCAUUAGGGUUAAAAUCACUGUCCAAAACCUUUGUAGGAACUCUUUUCCAACCUUUUGGAGUUAGUUACACCAACAAAAAUGUAAAAUGAAAAAAACAUAUUUGGGGUGUUCGGGCUUCCUGAAGGUAAUACCCGGGUAUUAGAUUUUAAGGCUAGGGUAAGGUUUAAGGUUUUUGGCGUUAGGGUUAAAAUCACUGUCCAAAACCUUUGUAGGAACUCUUUUCCAACCUUUUGGAGUUAGUUAGACCAAAAAAAAAAGAAAAAUGAAAAAAAAAUAUUUGGGGUGUUCAGGCUUCCUAAAAGUAAUACCCAGGUAUUAGGUUAUGGGGCUAUGGUAAGGUUUAAGUUUUUUGGCGUUAGGGUUAAAAUCACUGUCCAAAACCUUUGUAGGAACUCUUUUCCAACCUUUUGGAGUUGGUUACAACCAACAAAAAUGUAAAAUGAAAAAAAAAUAUUUGGGGUGUUUGGGCUUCCUGAAGGUAAUACCCGGGUAUUAGAUUUUAAGGCUAGGGUAAGGUUUAAGUUUUUUGGCGUUAGGGUUAAAAUCACUGUCCAAAACCUUUGUAGGAACUCUUUUCCAACCUUUUGGAGUUGGUUACACCAACAAAAAUGUAAAAUGAAAAAAAUAUAUAUUUGGGGUGUUCAGGCUUCCUAAAAGUAAUACCCGGGUAUUAGGUUAUGGGGCUAUGGUAAGGUUUAAGGUUUUUGGCGUUAGGGUUAAAAUCACUGUCCAAAACCUUUGUAGGAACUCUUUUCCAACCUUUUGGAGUUGGUUACAACAACAAAAAAGUAAAAUGAAAAAAAAAUAUUUGGGGUGUUUGGGCUUCCUGAAGGUAAUACCCGGGUAUUAGAUUUUAAGGCUAGGGUAAGGUUUAAGUUUUUUGGCGUUAGGGUUACAAUCACUGUCCAAAACCUUUGUAGGAACUCUUCCAACC
RNAcentral lists this long non-coding RNA (7646 nucleotides) under Xyrichtys novacula (pearly razorfish). Lineage: Eukaryota; Metazoa; Chordata; Actinopteri; Labriformes; Labridae. The record is from RNAcentral.